AUAUUGGUCAAUAGCCUAACGGCUGAACCAGCAACUUGGAGGAAUGUAUGGCAAUAGCUGGUUGCAUUAACAAAAAGUUAGUGUAAGAUCGACUCUGUCGAAUAAAAUUCUAGAUAGAAUUAUGAUAAUGACAUUAUCUAUCUAUGUGUCUUGACCAAAUUACGUGCCAGCAGUCGCGGUAAUACGUAAAAGACUAGUGUUAUUCAUCUUUAAUAGGUUUAAAGGGUACUUAGACGGUAAAUCAAGCCCGAAGAGGGAACUAAUAUACUAGAGUUUGAUGUAAGGAAGCAUGAAAGUACUGUUGGUGUAGAGAUAAAAUUCUAUCAUACCAAAUAUGGCACAGGUUUAGGCGAAAGCAUCUUCUUAUGUAAUAACUGACGUUGAAGGACGAAGGCUUUGUGUCUCGAACAGGAUUAGAUACCCCAGUAGUCUAAGCAGACAAUGAUGAAUGUCAUAGAUUAGAUUUAAUUUUUUCUAUAAAUGAAAGUGUAAGCAUUCCACCUCAAGAGUAAUUUGGCAACAUUGGAACUGAAAUCAUUAGACCGUUUCUGAAACCAGUAGUGAAGUAUGUUGUUUAAUUAGAUGGUACGCAAAAAACCUUACCACAAUUUGAAUUAGUAAUAUGUUUUCACAAGCGCUGCACGGCUGUCUACAGUUAAUGUCGUGAGAUUUUGGUUAGUUCCAUAAAAUUAACGCAAACCCUUACUUUAUUUUUAAUAUAAAGUAGUUCACCGCCAUAUUGGAUAUGAUAAAAGGGAACAAGACAAGUCAUCAUGGCCUUAAUAUUGUGGGCU
RNAcentral lists this ribosomal RNA (794 nucleotides) under Lecidea sp. Tuerk 43427. Its description in RNAcentral is "SSU rRNA". It matches the Rfam family "Bacterial small subunit ribosomal RNA", at positions 361 to 1215 of the family's 1533-position model. Lineage: Eukaryota; Fungi; Ascomycota; Lecanoromycetes; Lecideales; Lecideaceae. The record is from RNAcentral.